Molecule: non-coding RNA, 300 nt
Organism: Caenorhabditis elegans
Lineage: Eukaryota; Metazoa; Nematoda; Chromadorea; Rhabditida; Rhabditidae
Source: Ensembl
UGGAAGAGUUUUUGUUGAUUCUAGGCCACUGGCCUAUUCUGGUGGCCUAGCUUCCUCCAAGCUCAGCCGUCCUUGCAAGUACGAUGGGAGAGUUUUUAUAGAUUCUGGGCCACUAAGGUAAUUUGAUGGCCUAGCUUUUUCCUAUCGCGGCUUUCUAAUAAUUUACGAUGGAAGAGUUCUUGAAAAUUCUAGGCCACCAGCCAAGUCUGGUGGCCUAGCUUCUGCAAGCCUUGGUCGCCCUAGAAGUUUCGGUGGAAGAGUUUUUGGUAAACUUUAGACCUUAGACCAUCAGCUCAGACA